CUGGGUCAUUGCGGUAGCCCCUCACACCCCCCUGAACAAUGCUGGGUAGACACCCAAUAGAGUUAUCAAAUGGAUAAAUAAAUGCAAUUGCAGAGAGGAGGCGGCCACUUUUGGCGGCCUCCAUGCGUGGUGCCAGGGCCAUGUGCGAGGCCAUUGACGAGUGUUAGCUCACUGGAUUUCCAUACUGACCUCGGGAGGUGGAGACUCACAAAUCCAUUUUACAAAUAAGGAAUCUAAGGCUCAAAAAAUCCCAAGGAGACCACACAGCUCGCGACGGGUUGAGCCAGUUUUGACGCCAAGUUUGCCUGCAGCCCGAGCCCAAGUGCCACCCCUGCUCCAUGCCACUUGCUGGCACAGCUCUGAUGACUGUCUCCUGCCUGGCUCUGACGGGUCUCUGCCCAAGUGUUCUGGCCGCAGGCCUCCGCGGAGCUGGCAGCCAGGAACCUCCAGAGGCUCCCAACCUAGCCCGUCCUGCAAGAUGAAGCUGCUUCUUGG
Molecule: long non-coding RNA, 495 nt
Filed under: Homo sapiens (human)
Lineage: Eukaryota; Metazoa; Chordata; Mammalia; Primates; Hominidae
Description: non-protein coding lnc-CHD2-1:1
Source: RNAcentral